UACGGAAGGCAGCAGUGGGGAAUAUUGCACAAUGGGCGCAAGCCUGAUGCAGCCAUGCCGCGUGUAUGAAGAAGGCCUUCGGGUUGUAAAGUACUUUCAGUCGUGAGGAAGGUGUUAAGGUUAAUAACCUUAGCAAUUGACGUUAGCGACAGAAGAAGCACCGGCUAACUCCGUGCCAGCAGCCGCGGUAAUACGGAGGGUGCGAGCGUUAAUCGGAAUUACUGGGCGUAAAGGGCACGCAGGCGGUUAAUUAAGUUGGGUGUGAAAUCCCCGGGCUUAACCUGGGAAUGGCAUUCAAGACUGGUUAGCUAGAGUCUUGUAGAGGGGGUAGAAUUCCAUGUGUAGCGGUGAAAUGCGUAGAGAUGUGGAGGAAUACCGGUGGCGAAGGCGGCCCCUGGGACAAAGACUGACGCUCAUGUGCGAAAGCGUGGGGAGCAAACAGGGAUUAGAUACC
RNAcentral lists this ribosomal RNA (454 nucleotides) under uncultured bacterium. RNAcentral describes it as "bacterial SSU rRNA". It matches the Rfam family "Bacterial small subunit ribosomal RNA", at positions 340 to 786 of the family's 1533-position model. The record is from RNAcentral.